This is a long non-coding RNA of Salvelinus sp. IW2-2015, 950 nucleotides long. RefSeq lists it as uncharacterized. NCBI's taxonomy places the organism in Eukaryota, Metazoa, Chordata, Actinopteri, Salmoniformes, Salmonidae. The record is from RefSeq and is a predicted model, not a curated record.
UGAACUCUCUCCGUCCCAGUGUUUGUAUGUCUCUCUCUCUCUCUCUCGCUCUUUCUCUGUUUUUUUUUUUUACAGUGAAGGCAUUCUUUCAGGAUGGCGCCAGGCAGCUCAAUGCUUGCAGACAGCUGUGGCGCGACGCAACUUAAGGAGGGUCUGUCAGUGUCAUCAGUGGGGGAGGGGCCUGCCCUGCUAGCCCUAAUUGAAUAUAGUGGGCCAGGAGAGAUGACCAAGAACUGCUGAAAGGAUUUUUCUUUCACAGACCCUGCAAGAGUCUCACCAAUAGUGCUGCGCAAAGCACUGACACAGGCAGCCUCUGCGACGCCACUGGACGUGACGUCAUCUCCAGAGUAAACAGCCAGGAAAUGAACCCUCUCAGCAAGCAGAGCAGAGCGCGCAGGCUGUUCUGGAGAGGAAAUGCGCGCGCCCUUUUCCAGUAAAGCUGUCCAAACAGCCGCGAGGCGCGGAUCCAGGGUGAACCAGAGGACACCACCUCGGGCAGCGGGCCUCGCCCGGCACUCUCUCUACGCGCUGGAGCUACUUCACUCCAGUCACCACUGGAAUACAUUAUUAUUAUCUUGAUGAAGACGGAGAAAAAAAWUUAAACGCGAAGGAAAGAGAAACGCAGACGGACUUCCAUGUGUGUGUUACAGGAUAAUUUAAAUGUAAUCAACGAACAACUAUUUAUUAUUAUUACUAUUAAUAAUGAUAAUAAUAAUAACAAUUCUUUUGAUAUAUGCUGAAACAGAGAAAAAAUUACACCGAAGACAGGCAUUUUCAAAUAAUUCAAAACGAUAUCAUGCAUGACAAAAUUUGAAACCUCGAGUCCCAUGGGGCGUGUGGCAUAUAGCCUACAAAUAUAGGCUACUGGUAUAAGAUGACUAAUGCCACAAUAUUCUCUGAUCUUUUCAAGAACAACGCUUCUUGUUGUACUCAAUUAACUAUGUGAACCA